Long non-coding RNA from Homo sapiens (human), 450 nucleotides. Ensembl annotates it as HDAC4 antisense RNA 1. Its record names the gene HDAC4-AS1. Lineage: Eukaryota; Metazoa; Chordata; Mammalia; Primates; Hominidae. The record is from Ensembl.
GUGGGCCUCGCCCUGCCCCGCGGCGGGAACGCGGCCGUGAGGGUGUGGGGUGUAGGUCCGCCAGGCCUGCAACGGCUGCCGAGGGUCGUGGGAUGCGCUCGCCGCGUCCCUGCUCAGGCGGAGGGAGCCCGGCCCGCCGCCAGGGUCUCGAGUCCGGGUCCAGGAGUAUGACAACUUUUCAACUUGAGUGCACACACUGUCCCCGGAAUCCCGCGUUCCAGGGAGGAAGCGCCUUUGACAGCGCGCGCCGGUUCGUGGGGCCCGACGGCGUGGGCCUGUGGUUGCGGACCUGGCGGAGAUGCGCGUUCGCUUCGAUUGUAGGCCAUUCCUUUUAGGAGCUGAGAAAGGAUCCGUUUUUACAGCAUUCUCGACCUGUGAUUCUUGGUGGGGGAAACUAGUUAUGUGGAUAAAAAUACAGUUAGCAAAAUAAAAAUGCCAAUUUUACAUUUC